AUUGAACGCUGGCGGCAUGCCUAACACGUGCAAGUCGAACGGAAACGAUGGAAGCUUGCUUCCAGGCGUCGAGUGGCGGACGGGUGAGUAAUACUUAGGAAUCUACCCAGUAGCGGGGGACAACUCGGGGAAACUCGAGCUAAUACCGCAUACGCCCUACGGGGGAAAGCAGGGGAUCUUCGGACCUUGCACUAUUGGAUGAGCCUAAGUCGGAUUAGCUUGUUGGUGAGGUAAAGGCUCACCAAGGCGACGAUCCGUAGCUGGUCUGAGAGGACGAUCAGCCACACUGGGACUGAGACACGGCCCAGACUCCUACGGGAGGCAGCAGUGGGGAAUAUUGGACAAUGGGGGCAACCCUGAUCCAGCAAUGCCGCGUGUGUGAAGAAGGCCUGCGGGUUGUAAAGCACUUUCAGUAGAGAAGAAAAGCCUGGGGAUAAUACCUCCGGGUCUUGACGUUACCUACAGAAGAAGCUCCGGCUAACUCCGUGCCAGCAGCCGCGGUAAUACGGAGGGAGCGAGCGUUAAUCGGAAUUACUGGGCGUAAAGCGCACGUAGGUGGCUUUGUAAGUCGGAUGUGAAAGCCCUGGGCUUAACCUGGGAAUGGCAUUCGAUACUGCAU
RNAcentral lists this ribosomal RNA (619 nucleotides) under uncultured bacterium. RNAcentral's name for it is "bacterial SSU rRNA". It matches the Rfam family "Bacterial small subunit ribosomal RNA", at positions 28 to 638 of the family's 1533-position model. The record is from RNAcentral.